UAGGGAAUUUUCCACAAUGGGGGCAACCCUGAUGGAGCAACGCCGCGUGAUGGAUGAAGGCCUUCGGGUUGUAAACAUCUUUUCUCUGUGACGAAUAUGACGGUAGCAGAGGAAUAAGGGUCGGCUAACUACGUGCCAGCAGCCGCGGUCAUACGUAGGACCCGAGCGUUAUCCGGAUUUACUGGGCGUAAAGAGUUGCGUAGGUGGCAGAGUAAGUCAGUAGUGAAAGCGUGUGGCUCAACCAUACUCACAUUACUGAAACUACUCAGCUUGAGGACGAGAGAGGUAACUAGAAUUCCAAGUGUAGGAGUGAAAUCCGUAGAUAUUUGGAGGAAUACCGAUGGCGUAGGCAGGUUACUGGCUCGUUCCUGACACUAAGGCACGACAGCGUGGGGAGCAAA
Molecule: ribosomal RNA, 401 nt
Filed under: uncultured bacterium
Lineage: Bacteria
Description: bacterial SSU rRNA
Rfam family: Bacterial small subunit ribosomal RNA
Source: RNAcentral